UGUAAAUUGCACUCUAAAAAAAGAAGAUUCAAUUGUUAUUUUUAUGCUACUAGCCUAGAAAAUUUUCUGAAGACCAACGUUUUGAGAUGGUUUGAUUAUAGCUAAGGACACUGUGAAAUAGCAUUAUAAAUCUUGAAAUUUGAAAAUCUAAUCUUGGAGUGAAGCUUUCUUCAGCGUGAAAACAUGGAUAAAUUUCAUGAUUUCCCAUGUUCAUAAAUGGGGUUUGAAGGGAAACAAAAAAUUCCGAAGGAAAACCCAAAAAGAAACAUGAUGACAAAACAUAUUGGAUACCCAACUAUCCUUAAA
This 306-nucleotide unclassified non-coding RNA is filed under the name Hevea brasiliensis (rubber tree). The record is from RNAcentral. Lineage: Eukaryota; Viridiplantae; Streptophyta; Magnoliopsida; Malpighiales; Euphorbiaceae.